This 253-nucleotide ribosomal RNA is filed under the name uncultured bacterium. RNAcentral's name for it is "partial 16S ribosomal RNA". It matches the Rfam family "Bacterial small subunit ribosomal RNA", at positions 524 to 776 of the family's 1533-position model. The record is from RNAcentral.
UACGUAGGGGGCUAGCGUUGUCCGGAAUCAUUGGGCGUAAAGCGCGUGUAGGCGGCCCGGUAAGUCCGCUGUGAAAGUCGGGGGCUCAACCCUCGGAUGCCGGUGGAUACUGUCGGGCUCGAGUACGGAAGAGGCGAGUGGAAUUCCUGGUGUAGCGGUGAAAUGCGCAGAUAUCAGGAGGAACACCGGUGGCGAAGGCGGAUCUCUGGGCCUUACCUGACGCUCAGGCGCGAAAGCUAGGGGAGCGAACUGG